Molecule: long non-coding RNA, 1169 nt
Filed under: Triticum aestivum (bread wheat)
Lineage: Eukaryota; Viridiplantae; Streptophyta; Magnoliopsida; Poales; Poaceae
Description: long non-coding RNA (TAES_LNC023718)
Source: RNAcentral
CUCGGCAGCGCCUGCCUCGGCUCGCUCUUCGUGCCCACCAUCGAGGCGCUCCGCAUCCUCGCCCGCGGGCUCAACCUGCUGGAGGGCGAGGACGAGUUCAUGUUCUCCUGCGCGCACUGCUGCCUCAACGUCAUGAACGCCGUCUUCGAGUUCGGCAACAGCUGGGCAUUCGUCCAUGUAAGCGAAGCUUUCCUGCUCCUCAGUCCAUGCAUAUCCUCUGUACUGACAAGCUUAGUUUGUCUGACUAUGGUGAUUCGUUUAUGUUGGUUUGUCGAGCAGAUUGCGGCGUACGGCAGGGGGUUCGUGCAGGCGUCGCGGAGCACGUGGAACCAGUUCGAGGGGCAGCCGGGGAUGCCGGCGCUGGCGGACGCGGACAUCACGAGCUCGGUGUGCUUCCUGACCGGGGUGACCAGCGGCGCGCUGUGCGUGGCGCUGGCGGGCUCGUGGACGUUCGUGACGCACAAGCACUACACGGCCACAGUGUCGCUCAUGGCGUUCUACGUGGGGUACCUGAUGACCCGGAUCGGCAUGGCGCUGCCGCAGGCGUGCGUGGGCUGCUACUACGUGUGCUACGCCGAGAACCCCAGGUCCCGGCUCUUCGAGGACAGCCCCAUAGGGGAGCGGCUGAACAAGAUGAAGGAGGACGGGCAGGACGCCGUCGGGGUCGCGCCCACCCCGCGGUUCCCGCACCAGCACGUCAGCGCCGCCUGACCCCGGCCGCCGCCGCCGUGUACACUGUACAGGCAAGAACAUGUUGGCCCAAGAACCGGAUCGUGCGAUGUCAUUCCAUAGCUGCUGGUGCUGGCCGAGUUGACCGGCGGCGGCGGACUUGCAUUGGCGUCGCGUGAAAGCAAGGCAACCGGAGGAAGGAGGAUCGGAGAAGGGAUCUCGUAUGACCCAUGCGGCGAAUCGUAGUUCUCACGCUGCCGAGGCUUAUCGACUCGGGAGCACGAGUUGAUGUUCUCUUCUCUUGUGUCUAAAAUAGGGACGUACUAGGGCCAACUCUUUUUGACGUAGUGUUCUGUAAAUUCGUCCAUUUUUUGGCAAUGUUUCUCAGCUGUUAUUAGGGGUAGCAGAAGCCUGAGCAUUUCAUCUUUCAGGUCUAGCAAAAUUUGUCAGAGUGAUUUUACAAGGAUGCCAUGUGAAUAUUUUCUUGUAAGAUCAUCUUU